RNAcentral lists this ribosomal RNA (253 nucleotides) under uncultured bacterium. Its description in RNAcentral is "partial 16S ribosomal RNA". It matches the Rfam family "Bacterial small subunit ribosomal RNA", at positions 524 to 776 of the family's 1533-position model. The record is from RNAcentral.
UACGUAGGGCGCGAGCGUUGUCCGGAAUUACUGGGCGUAAAGAGCUUGUAGGUGGUUUGUCGCGUUGUUCGUGAAAUCUCACGGCUUAACUGUGAGCGUGCGGGCGAUACGGGCAGACUAGAGUACUGCAGGGGAGACUGGAAUUCCUGGUGUAGCGGUGGAAUGCGCAGAUAUCAGGAGGAACACCGGUGGCGAAGGCGGGUCUCUGGGCAGUAACUGACGCUGAGAAGCGAAAGCGUGGGGAGCGAACAGG